Molecule: long non-coding RNA, 1270 nt
Organism: Haliotis rubra (blacklip abalone)
Lineage: Eukaryota; Metazoa; Mollusca; Gastropoda; Lepetellida; Haliotidae
Exons: 6
Source: RefSeq, a predicted model, not a curated record
AAGUUUUACCAUGACCCGGAAGGAAAAUAGGAGAAUGUAGUGCCUUGUUUAAAUGCACUGAUUUGUCUGUGCUAAUUUAUUCAGGGUGACUUGUGACAGCUUAAAUGAAAGAUCAGACAUUUUACUUUAUUGCCAUUUGUUUUUGUCCUCAAUCUGCACAUGCUAUUGACUCCAGCCUUUCAUGAUUUGACCCCAAGUUCAAGGCUGUUUAGUGUAUUUCAGCUCAAAAAUUCCGGUGACCGUUGUUGACAGUGGAUACAGCAAAAUUGAAAUGCUCGAUCCAGACCGAUAUUUUGCUGGCUUGGAGAAUGACUGAUGGUGACUGGGGAGGUGUAUCUUUGCACAUACAGCAGAAUCAGAAGCCUUCACAUCCAAUGUUGUGUUUCAACAAGUCGGUCUGAUGUUGGCAGUGUGUGCACCCUCCUUUCACCUUGAUAUCCUCUACCACCUUGAACAAGUUGUGGUACUUGAACAUGCUCAACCUUCAAGAAAUAGAAGCAUUGGUGUUAUUUCAAAUGACAUCACGACUGCCUUAGAUUAAAACUUGAAGGAGGUGACAUUCCCCAGAAAAGUUGUUCACCAUCCCAUCCCAUGUUGGGUUGCCCCCCAGUCCAGAUCAACAGUUUGUUGAGGAAAAGCUUGGAAUUCAGUUGAUGCCUAUUCUUGCUGUGAAGAGGAGCAAUCUGAACUGAAGGGGAGAACAGACUCCAAACAAGAGUAGAUGUGAUGACACCAAGAAAGAGCAGCCACAUAUUACCUCAAGAGGUUAACCGGAAUGCAAAUCAACAGAAUAUGAUGCUGACCAAGUACCAGGAAGAGGUGUCCCCAUCACUGUAGAUGACAAGUGAUGACAGUUAUCUUGAUGGACUACAGGAAUGAUUCAAGUGCAUUCAUUAUGCAGUUUACUGAUUUGUUUGAUGUAUUUUGAUAAUUGUUCUGGCAUUCUGAUGUCAGCUGAGUAACACCUCCAUAAUGGAGACAAAUUAAGGAACUUCUGUUUUGAAGCAGUAAAAUAGUCUCAACAAGAAUUUUUAUUUAUUUUGCCAGCAGAACAGAAGUUUCCAUUAAUUUUCCCACACAAACAUUUUGUGCUUUUCUGUUCCCCAUUUGUGCUUAUUGUCCUGCUGAACAAUUGGACCACCUUUUCAGUGACAUUUUUUUUUACACUGCAUGACAAUGUGAUUUAUAAGUAUGAUUUGAUAUAGUUUGAUGGUUUGAUAUUAGUAUAUGUGGCAUGUAGUAAACAAUGGAAUAGUAAAGUUAUGCCAUA